GGAAGUUCUUGGGUGACCUACCCUGGAACUGGGCUCCCUCCUCUCUGGUUACGGGGUGCAUCACCCAGAACUGCC
Non-coding RNA from Myotis brandtii (Brandt's bat), 75 nucleotides. The record is from Rfam. NCBI's taxonomy places the organism in Eukaryota, Metazoa, Chordata, Mammalia, Chiroptera, Vespertilionidae.